This 460-nucleotide ribosomal RNA is filed under the name uncultured bacterium. RNAcentral's name for it is "partial 16S ribosomal RNA". It matches the Rfam family "Bacterial small subunit ribosomal RNA", at positions 338 to 795 of the family's 1533-position model. The record is from RNAcentral.
CCUACGGGAUGCAGCAGUGAGGAAUAUUGGUCAAUGGCCGGAAGGCUGAACCAGCCAUGCCGCGUGAAGGUCAGUGCCCUAUGGGCGUUAAACUUCUUUUGUGCGGGAGCAAUAAUGGUCACGUGUGGCCAGACGAGAGUACCGUACGAAUAAGCAUCGGCUAACUCCGUGCCAGCAGCCGCGGUAAUACGGGGGAUGCAAGCGUUAUACGGAUUUAUUGGGGUUAAAGGGUGCGUAGGCUGUGAGGUAAGUCAGAGGUGAAAUGCCCCCGCUCAACGGGGUGAAGUGCCAUUGAUACUGCCUUGCUGGAAUGCGGAUGCCGUGGGAGGAAUGUGUGGUGUAGCGGUGAAAUGCAUAGAUAUCACACAGAACACCGAUUGAGAAGACAUCUCACGAAUCCGCGAUUGACGCUGAUGCACGAAAGCGUGGGUAUCAAACAGGAUUAGAUACCCUUGUAGUC